This 427-nucleotide ribosomal RNA is filed under the name Astrosyne radiata. Its description in RNAcentral is "partial Bacterial large subunit ribosomal RNA". It matches the Rfam family "Bacterial large subunit ribosomal RNA", at positions 1639 to 2073 of the family's 2925-position model. The record is from RNAcentral. Lineage: Eukaryota; Bacillariophyta; Fragilariophyceae; Cyclophorales; Cyclophoraceae.
AAACCGUACCGUAAACCGACACAGGUGAAUAGAUUGAGUAAAUUAAGGCGUUGAGAGAAUUGUGUUGAAGGAACUCGGCAAAAUGACUCCGUAACUUCGGGAGAAGGAGUAGCUUUAUUGGGGAAACCUGAUAAAGCUGUCACAAAAUCGGGGACAGCGACUGGUUAAUAAAACCACAGGUUUCUGCUAAUUUGUAAAAAGAUGUAUAGAAACUGACGCCUGCCCAGUGCUGCAAGUGUAAAGUAAAAAGUCUUUUGGCUUUGAGCCUAAAACCCAGUAAACGGCGGCUGUAACUCUGACGGUCCAAAGGUAGCGAAAUUCCUUGGCAUUUAAUUGGUGUCCUGCAUGAAUGGCGUAACGACUGUCCCACUGUCUCCAACACAAACUCAGUGAAAUUGAAUUCUCCGUGAAGAUGCGGAGUACCUGC